CCCUUCCUUCCCAGCCAUUUCCCUCUGCAGGAUGGAGGGAGCCAGAGGCAGCUGCAGUGUGGGGAGAGUGGGAGAGGUGCGGGGAUGUGUCCUCUCUGAAGGGUGUGCCUGCGAAUUUUAGAAAAUGGAUUCUCUAGCAAUUAAUUAUUUAUAAGCGAAUGACCACACUCACAGGACAUCAGUCGAGGCUGUCAGCAAAACAGAAAGCUGACCCGUCAAAAGAAAAGGCUGCUCAGAAUUCUGGUUGACGUGUGUCUAAAAAGGAAAGGAAAGGAAUUCCUGCUUGCUUUUGUUUGACAGAUAAAGCUGCUCUAAGCAUGGAAGGGUGACUAAGAGGUAGUCAUGGCCACACCCAUGGGUCCCCACUGGUCUAGGUGACUUUCGACUCGCUUCUGGAAGCACAGUGCUAAGGCUGUGGUCACAGCUCUUUGUCUGCACUGGCAGAACGAGAGAGACGCAGACACAGCAAAUGACCCCCGAGCACAGGGCCCUGCGGACACUGGACAGGCAUGGACAAAUACUGCUAUCCUUGCCAACCCUCUCCUGGUGCUAGACUGCCCUCCUGUGGUCCCUCGACAGCACAGGCUCCCAUCUCAGACUCCAUGGGUGCCACAUCAUGGGCAAACUUCCGGGCAUGUCCACUGCCAUUUCUAAAACCCUCCAUGUCCUGUUCUCAAGGGGCCCAAGUACUGUAUCCAUCCAGGCCUCAGUGAGUGGGCAUGUGUCAAUAAGCCCAUAGGCUAAAGAGGGCCUUCUGCAGAAGCCGUGUCUUUCCCUGAAGAAGCAGCUCUGAUAGAAGCAAACAAAUGACAACAAACACAACAGACCCUCUCACUAGUAUGCAACUGCCAGCUUCAGAGUGGACGGCCCCGAUGAAAUGUGUCCUCCUCCAGCUGUGAGCCACCGCGCAAUGAUAGACCCUCCAUCAGUGCAUGAUGAACCUCGUGUCCUCCCACCCGCUCACCUGCGGUGCGGUAGCAAGGUGUGUGCUGUGGCAGCUGGACCGGAGGAGACGGCCGACACCUUCUGGGUGGCAUGUGGUAUCUCACUGUCUUCCAAAACUUGGUCUUCACACACUGUGACUGCUCCGUGAAGUCCCCAUGCCACCGGAUGGCACCGUGCUUCUGUUUGAUGUACUGAAUUGACUCCGGCAUGACUGUGUAGUCCUCGAUUUUCUCCAGCUCAAUGAGAAUAACCUUCAUCCCGUCCUGGAUCAGGGCAUUGUAGACCGCGAUUUGUUCUUCCGACAGGUUCUUCAACAGGCCAAAGCCCAGCGAUUCGGGGACCACAAUGACAAUCAGCCUCCUGCACAGCUUAACGUUUUCAUCGAUGACAUUGGCCACAGCUGGAAAUAAAGAAAGAAGGCUCAGAAGAACUCACAGUUAAAACAGCUCGGGUCUUAACGCUAGUGAGAAUAUUGGAAACAGGCCAGGAGAAAAUUGACUUUUUUUUUUAAAUGAAGUCUCGCUGUGUUGCCCAGGUUGGAGUGUAGGGAUGUAAUCUCAGCUCACUGCAACCUCCACCUCCCAGGUUCAAGCAAUUCUCCUGCCUCAGCCUCCUAAGUAGCUGGGAUUACAGACAUGUACCACCACGCCCAGCUAAUUUUUGCAUUUUUAGUAGAAAUGGAGUUUUACCACAAGCUGGUGUCGAACUCCUGACCUCAAGUGAUCCGCCCAUCUUGGCCUCGCAAUGUGCUGGGGUUACAGGUGUGAGCCACCGUGCCUGGCCAAAAAUGUACUUUAAAAUAAACAUGACUUAGUCAGGAAUGAAUUAAUACAAGUUUUGGGGUUUUUUUCUUUUUUUUUUUUUUAACAUUUGUCACCUCUUCUUGAAGGCUUUGUGGUUUUCCCUGAAGCCUUGGUCCUCUAUAGUCAUGAAUCAUGUUUUGCAUGUGGUUUCUUUGUAUGUCACUUUCCCUGGCCAACAAGUAUCUGAUGGUGCCUAACUCUGUAUCCCCAGACUAGCUGAAGGUCUGGUGUAUAUUAGCAGAUGAACACAUUCUUAAAAAUAGAUGUUAAAAGGAUAGGAAACAUGUAGUUAGCUGAAAUGUUGCAUUAAUCUUGAAUCUGUGUUUUCCUUUUGUUCUUUAUAGUUAUUUAAAUGACCAGGAUAUAUGUGACUAAUUUAGAAACCAAAUAACAUGCCCUGAUAAUUGCUUGGGAAAGGGAGGGUUCUCUAAAUACCCAGCUCUGCAGAUGCUAUUCAGUCUACAGUUGCCUCUCAUAAGAAAUAAGAAUAGACUGGAACCUCCCUGAGGACAGGCCCUUCUGCUUGGCUGAUUUUCGUAUUCCUAGUGCCUAGAAUACUGUCUAUCACAUAGAGGUUUUCAAUAAAUAUAUGUUGAAUAA
This is a long non-coding RNA of Symphalangus syndactylus (siamang), 2348 nucleotides long. RefSeq lists it as uncharacterized. Lineage: Eukaryota; Metazoa; Chordata; Mammalia; Primates; Hylobatidae. The record is from RefSeq and is a predicted model, not a curated record.